Caenorhabditis elegans is the source of this 878-nucleotide long non-coding RNA. Ensembl annotates it as ncRNA. Its record names the gene linc-8. The record is from Ensembl. Lineage: Eukaryota; Metazoa; Nematoda; Chromadorea; Rhabditida; Rhabditidae.
CCCCAAUUUUAUUGAUUUUUUAAAUAGUAUUUAGCUUUUUAAAUAUUUUUUUAAGACAAAAAUCGAGUAAAUUUUUCCUCAAUAUUUUUUCUGCUCAAUAAACGAUAUUAUAAUACAAGUGUGAGAAAAUUUAUUACUGACCUAGUCCCUAACCAUCCAAGAGGGGACAAUAUUUGUGCAAUUCGUUAAUAUCAAAUACUGGUUUUGCCAGAAGAAAUAAAAAUCCAGAAGAAAGAAAAAUCUUUUGUUAACAGUUAAAUGGCAAGCAGGUAAUACCCAAAAAUUCUACUAGGCUGCUCUACACCCCUAGUCUGCGCUCUCUACGACCUCUCGUUCUAUCGUUCGUUCUCUCCCUUCUCCAUUUAUUCUGUCUCUAUGACGGCCUACGGAAUGGCUGUCCCUCUUGCUUUUAUUGAUUUUUCAUUAUUCUGGCUAUUUUUCAUGGUGUAGAGGCUCUCUCUCUCACGGCUAUAAGCAAUACUCUCGUCAUCCGGCUCAGAACGACUCAAUAAAAGUAUUCAAAUACCAGAAAAAUAACUUAGAACGUUUCCUGGGAAACCGUUUUUAUAUAUUUUUACCCAAUGAGAAGUUACUAUAAUUUUGAAGCAAGACCAAUUAGACUUUCAGAAUACUUUUUAUUAACACCAGCUAUGUCCUCCCUCAAAAUAAACACAUUGCAAAGAAGCUGUUGCAAGAAAGAUCAAGGCGUAGAUCUCUGGUUUAACCUACCUAGUUUAAAAGUUCCUAUGACUGUAGAAGUAGCGUCCUUUGGCAGUUGUUAGAUUUUUUUUUUUGAAACUGAACAAUCCCCAUGUGUAUCAUUUUUUUGUUAAAGAUUGAAUAAAUGUAUGUGAUUAUUGAAUACAUCUUGUCUGAAU